CUCCAUUUUCUGAAAAGGGAGAUAAAAAAUACUACACAGAUUUAAAUGUAUUAUAUUUUUUCAUGUUAUCUUAAAGGAACAAGCAAAAAAAAAAAGAAAAAGAAAAAGAAUUGGUCAGUGUUAGCCACAGACACAAUGAUUUGAAAGCAAAAGCAAAGUUAUGUAAAUUUUGGAGAAAUGAUUUCAACAAUAUAUUGUAAAGUUGCUAGAAUGUCAGCUAAAUAUUGAGAUGGCAUCACAUUAAGUAAAGAAUAAAGAAUAUUCAAAACUUUCAAAAAAAAAAAAACCCUAAGGCAUAUUAGGAUGAAAUAAACCACCAACCAAAGAGAAAGGGAGCUUUAUAAAAUUAUUGGAAAUGUUUUUAUGAUGACUGGAAUAUAUUAGUACUUCAGUUUAAUAGUAUAUGGUAACUUAUCAACUGUACAGCACACACAUUCUUACUAAAAUCCCAAAUCUUGGGACAAAAGGAAACAUAAACCUUGAGAAGUUUCAUAAUUCAAAAGGGAAACAGAUGAAUAAAUAAUCGUACUACAACAUGAUAUGUACUGGGAUACAGAUAAAUGCAGAGCAGUGGCAGUAAGUAACUGAGGAAGUCACUUUUGAGCUGACCUUUGAAGGAUGAAUAGAAGUUCACCAUAUAUUAGAAUAUUCAGAUUUUAGCAAAAUUUAAACAUUGACUCUUUAUCUGAAAUUACCAAUUGAUAUCCUUUAGGGAUAAAAAUUGUUCCUUGCUACUGCAUUAAUUUGUUUUAUAUCUUCAUUAUGAAUUCUUAAACUAAUAUUAUUCUGAUGGAUCUCUUUUCCUAAAUGCCUUUAUAGUAUUGUAAAUUAUAAAUGUGUAGAGCUUACUUUUAGCACAUAUGACAGGAAAAACACUGAAGAUUCAAGCUGACCCAGAUGAUAUGUGAAAAUGACAAUUUAAUUAAUUUCUCUGAACCUUAACUUUCUCAUUAAAAAAAGAUGGGGAGAAUACCUAUCUCAUGGAAUGAUUAGGAGAUAAUGAGAUGAUAUAUUUUGUGAACUAGGACAAUAGCUAGUUUGAAUAAACCAACAAUCUGUAAAUGGAAGUUCUCUUCCCUAGCUUUUAUCUUCAAAUAAGAUAAGAAAGACUUGGCUUAAACUUGUUUUCUUUUCUAGUUUACAAAUGCUAUACAAUGAACAUUAAUCUUCACAUUCUUGAACAAAUGGAUGAAAGCAAAUUGCUUGAAAGUUAGUUUGGUGUAAAGUAGACCAAUGGAGGAAUAUAAAAAAUAAAGCCUCCUCUAAUUUCACUACUUAUGUAUGUAGAGUUAAUCUUAAUGGACAAAAGGAUUUGUGCAGUCACAUGAUAUUGUCCUUUCAGUGAAAAAUCUUGUAAGCUUUCCUAAGAACAAAGGUUACUUCUUCCAUUGCUUUAACAGACACCCUUUUAGUAUUUGGUAAAAUACUCCAUUCAUGCCUUAGACUUCCAUGGGUGUUUGUUGCUUUAGUGCCUCUUGAUCUUGAACUCAGUAUUUCCCAGAAAGCAUUAGCAGUUUUGUCCAGUAGGGAAGAUGAGACCAAAACUUCUAAGUCAGGUCAAGUCAUCUGUGUCUAUAUGUGAAAACACCAUAGUUUAUAAAAUGUUAAACCAACAAUCCAAAAUUUCAAAUGUUAAGAAAAUUAAAUGCACCACUGAAUGUGUCUAUGAGUAUUAUACUUGGGCUCCUAGCUACAUGAAAUAUAAACAUUUAAAAGGAUGUAGGUUGGAAACCAGGUUCCUUCUUUCUCAUUAACUGUUCUUGUACUUCUAUAUUAGAUUGUGAAGGUAAAAAACCUGUUUUACUUAACAAAGCUGGCUAGUGCUUUUUAUGGAAAUUCUUUUUCAGUUUGUAACUCACGUGAAUGUCAAUGUCAAAGUAACAACAGCACCACUGGGAUGAAAUAGAUAAAAGACUCCUGGUCAGAUGAAGUUCUCUUUCCAUUAAGAUUUAACCUUCAUGUUUUCCAUUAAGCCAUAUUGUCAACUCAGCUUCUUUCUUCACUGAGAGUGGCCCACUGAUGGAUGUUUUUGUGUAGUAUAGCAUGAGGUAGAAAAGUAUUUCUAUUUCUAUGUGCUUUUAAACCUUUAUAUGGAAAACAAAAUUUGCCAGAAUUUCUAGGCAACAUUGCUUUAUAUAUAAAUUAUGAAAUACUUCAUUGAUAAUUCAUAAUUUUUGAUGCUAUAAAUGUAGGUAUGUGUACACCCACAAUAACAUUUUAGUUUUUCUAAUCUUUCAAUUUGUUUGAUUUGUAUAUUCAAGUUUAUCUUAUGUGAGUAUUUGGUGUAUGAGACUAGAUGUAUUUCAUAGACUCAUAAAUCCAGACUUAGAAAAAUGCACUUUUUAGGUGGGAUUUGGAAACUAAAGUUCCAAAAUUUAUCACAUGAAUAGUUCGAAACUUUUUUUUCUUAAAAUGAAGUACUUAAAAAAAAUGUCGAAAAGUCACUUUCUUGAACAUAGUUCCCUGUACUACAUAGCAGGAUCUCAUUGCCUAUCCAUUCUAAAUGUAACAGUUUGCAUUACUUGUGAUGAAACAUGAUGAAAGAUAAUAUUCAAGUGUGUGGAUAAGUGUAUAACUGGGUCACUUUUCUGUACAGCAGAAAUUGACAGAACAGUGUAAAUCAACUAUAAUAAAUUUUUAAAAAAAAUCACUUUCUUAAAAAUUAAUUUACCUUUGGAAUGAGGGCAAUGGGCCUGCAGUUUUUAUUAUCUUCAGAAUUAAUCAUCAAGUUUAGAACAUGGCUUCUAGGAAUUAAAUUUUACUAUAGCUGUAAUUGUAAGAAAAAUUCUAUUUCAUUUCUUUGUCAAGUGUUAGAUUUUUCCUUUUAACAAGGAAAAUAUUAAACACUACCUCUAAUUGUGCUUGAUAGGUUUUGGACUCAAAAUUUGUCAAAUGGUGUUUAGAGUGGUUUUCCGUGGACAGGUUGGAAAUAUUGGGAACUAUACAUUUGACAAUUAAGAAAUAUCGUAAUCAGGUAUUACUAAGUUUUUGCAAUAUGUAUGAUCCUAGGGUAGAUUCUUGGAUAUUAAAUACACCUAAUCUAUUAUUUUCUCCUCAAUUCUUUCCUUCCUUCUUUCCUCCCUCCCUUCCUACAUUUCUUCCUCUCUUCCUUCCUUUCUCCUUUCCUACCUUCCACUCUUCCUUCAUCCCUCUCUCCCUCUCUCACUUCUUUCCUUCCUUCCUUCCUUGCUCCUUUCCUCCCUCCCUCAUUCCUUCCCUCCCUUCCUUCCUACUUCAAAUUAUCUCUAGGAAAAGUUACAUACUUAGAAUAAGGCAUCUUUAACUCAAAAAGGAAGACAAUUGAAGAAAUUAGCAGAAUGGGAGAAAAGAGUUUCAAAUGAUACAACUGACAAGGGCUUAAUCUCUAGAAUAUACAAACAACUUAUACAACUCAACAGCAAAAAAAGCCAACGACCCAAUGGAAAAAUGGGCAAAAGAUCUGAGUAGACAUUUCUCCAAGGAAGAUGUACAGAUGGCCAACAAGCACAUGAAAAAAUGCUCAACAUCCCAGAUGAUUAGAGAAAUGCAAAUCAAAACUACCGUGAGAUACCACCUCACACCAGUCAGAAUGGCCAUCAUUAAUAAGUCCACAAAUAACACAUGCUUGAGGGGGUGCAGAGAAAAGGGAACUCUCUUGCACUGUUGGUGUGAAUGUAAGCUGGUAUGAACACUAUGGAGAACAGUAUGCAGGUACCUUAGAAAACUAUACAUAGAACUUCCAUAUGACCCAGCAAUCCCACUCUUAGGUAUAUAUCCAGAGAGAACUUUUCUUAAAAAAACACAUGCACCUGCAUGUUUGUUGCAACACUAUUCACAAUAGCCAAGACAUGGGAACAACCCAAAUAUCCAUUGACAGAUGAAUGGUUAAGAAGAUGUGGUAUAUAUACAAAAUGAAAUACUACUCAGCAUUAAAAAAGUACAAGAUAAUGCCAUUUGCAGCAACAUGGAUGGAACUAAAGACUCUCAUACUGAGUGAAGUAAGUCUGAAAGAGAAAGACUAAUACCACAUGAUAUCACUUAUAUCUGGAAUCUAAUAUAAAGCACAAAUGAAUCUUUCCACAGAAAAGAAAAUCAAGGACUUGGAGGAUAGACUUGUGGUUGCCAAGGGGGAGAGGCAGGGAGUGCAGUGGAUGGGGAACUUAGGGUUAAUAGAUACAAACUAUUGCCUUUGGAAUGGAUUAGCAAUGAGAUCCUGCUGUGUAGCACUGGGAACUAUGUCUAGUCACUUAUGAUGGAGCAUGAUAAUGGGAGAAAAAAUAAUGUAUCCAUGUAUGUGUAACUGGGUCACCAUGCUGUAGAGUAGAAAAAAAAAUUGUUUUGGGGAAGUAACAAUUUAAAAAAAUUAAAUUAAAUUAAAAAGAAUGAAAUUAGCACAUCAAAUUAAAGACUAUGAAGGAAGAUCAGGAAGAUCAUCAUCGUAAAUUUGCCAUGACAAGGUGACAGUUGGAAAAACAAAGAGGGGCCUGUCUAAGUAAAGAAAUCGGUAAUCUUUGUGGUAUGUUAGAUUUGAGGAGCUAAAACAUCAGUAUAACAGCAAUAUAUGUGGCCUUGGGUACCUGGGGAUCACAUGAGUGUAGAGGGCAUAUUUGCUCUAUGUAUGUUAGGUACUGAUGACUGUGAUUUCUCCACGGUUAGUCAGUCACAAAAUCAGACUGAUUUAAACACCAACAUAUUACUCAAAUAUGUCCCUAAUUUUUGACCCUCACAACCACAUCCUGAAAUCACCUUUGAACUAGUCUUCCCACUUUUAGACUGGCUCAAGGUUUAGUACCACACUGUUGUUACAGAUAUUCCAAUCUAGAAAAUAUAGACACAUUGUGUGAUUUCAGUGUCUUCCCAUGAUGAUCAAGACAAAAUCAAUCUCUUUUCCUUG
Molecule: long non-coding RNA, 4873 nt
Filed under: Sus scrofa (pig)
Lineage: Eukaryota; Metazoa; Chordata; Mammalia; Artiodactyla; Suidae
Description: lncRNA (ENSSSCG00000062691.1)
Source: RNAcentral